AAGUCGUAACAAGGUUUCCGUAGGUGAACCUGCGGAAGGAUCAUUAAUGAAUAACUUUGGCGUGGUUGUAGCUGGCUCCUUGGAGCAUGUGCACACCCGUCAUCUUUAUCUUUCCACCUGUGCACAACAUGUAGAUCUGGAUAACUCUCGCCUUCUGGCGGAAACAGGGAUUGCUGCGUCGCAAGGCCAGCUCUCCUUGAAUUUCCAGGUCUACGUCUUUACAAACUCCAAUUGAAUGAUGAAGAAUGUAGUCAAUGGGCUCUAAGCCUAUAAAACACAAUACAACUUUCAGCAACGGAUCUCUUGGCUCUC
Molecule: unclassified non-coding RNA, 312 nt
Filed under: Ephemerocybe brevisetulosa
Lineage: Eukaryota; Fungi; Basidiomycota; Agaricomycetes; Agaricales; Psathyrellaceae
Description: Coprinellus brevisetulosus partial internal transcribed spacer region
Rfam family: Eukaryotic small subunit ribosomal RNA (bases 1-46)
Source: RNAcentral